RNAcentral lists this ribosomal RNA (468 nucleotides) under uncultured bacterium. Its description in RNAcentral is "partial 16S ribosomal RNA". It matches the Rfam family "Bacterial small subunit ribosomal RNA", at positions 28 to 507 of the family's 1533-position model. The record is from RNAcentral.
GGCGAACGCUGGCGGCGUGCUUAACACAUGCAAGUCGAACGGAAAGGCCCUGCUUUUGUGGGGUGCUCGAGUGGCGAACGGGUGAGUAACACGUGAGUAACCUGCCCUUGACUUUGGGAUAACUUCAGGAAACUGGGGCUAAUACCGGAUAGGAGCUCCUGCUGCAUGGUGGGGGUUGGAAAGUUUCGGCGGUUGGGGAUGGACUCGCGGCUUAUCAGCUUGUUGGUGGGGUAGUGGCUUACCAAGGCUUUGACGGGUAGCCGGCCUGAGAGGGUGACCGGCCACAUUGGGACUGAGAUACGGCCCGGACUCCGACGGGAGGCAGCAGUGGGGAAUAUUGCACAAUGGGCGGAAGCCUGAUGCAGCAACGCCGCGUGCGGGAUGACGGCCUUCGGGUUGUAAACCGCUUUCGCCUGUGACGAAGCGUGAGUGACGGUAAUGGGUAAAGAAGCACCGGCUAACUACGUG